RNAcentral lists this small nuclear RNA (289 nucleotides) under Sarcophilus harrisii (Tasmanian devil). RNAcentral describes it as "7SK RNA". It matches the Rfam family "7SK RNA", at positions 46 to 331 of the family's 331-position model. Rfam says of the family: 7SK was discovered as an abundant small nuclear RNA in the mid-70s but a possible function has only recently been suggested. Two independent studies have found that 7SK RNA binds the CDK9/cyclin T complex (known as elongation factor P-TEFb). P-TEFb activates transcription by phosphorylating the C-terminal domain of RNA polymerase II. The record is from Rfam by way of RNAcentral. Lineage: Eukaryota; Metazoa; Chordata; Mammalia; Dasyuromorphia; Dasyuridae.
AGUAAUGAAGACGUUCUUUAGAGGCCUUUUAGGAUUAAUUUAACUGACUGACUCAGCGAGGCAAUUAUCCCCCUCCUUCCUCACAACUCUUGUUGCCCUUCUGAAGCUGUUUGCUUGGUAGGGAGAAUGACCUUCCCAAACAGGCUGUCACUGUUUUGUGGUCAAGGAUGUAUGGGUAGCUACAUUCCCCUCUUAGGAACUCAGAAGGAGCUCUUAUCAUCCACUUGUAGGAGAGAAGCUUUCUUAUAGCAUUUUGUCAGUUUUUUGGGAUAAAGUGUUCUAAAUAACU